UUUCGGUGCAGUUAAGAAGAGAAUCUGUGGUUUCAUGUGCUAAAUACAGCACUCUGAAAGACUGCAGAGCUGCUCUGGAUCCUUUCUGCGGCUGGUGUGUGAACACUCAGAGAUGUUCUACUCAAGAUGAAUGCUCAAAUACUGCAUGGGUGUCCAUCCCAAAAAACUCUCUUCAGACACAGCUGUUUUCUUUUCAGAUGGCAGAGAAUUAUUCUAGAAAGAUUAAUCUACAUCUUAUUUUGAAUCUGGAGAGCACAGGAAAUCCUGCCUUCUCAUGCACCUUCACUAAAGAAAGUGUAAACCUGUGUGACGUGUCUGAUCCGCCUGCAGUUUUCCCAAACUGCUCCUGUAGUUUUUCUGACCAGAUGCUCUAUACUAGAGGUUUAAAAGUCUCUGCUACUGUUACUAUUGAGGAUCAGAACAUCAUAGAGAUGCUGACACUGAGGAACUGCUCCCGUAUCACAGAUAAUUCACCAAAUGCUUCUUAUACACAGUGUGUUCAGUGUAUCUCAUCUGGGUGUCACUGGUCCUCAUUCUCCAAGCGUUGUGAAUGGACACUUGGACCUGGACCACAGUUAAACAUACAGGUGAGAUGGCGUGUAACCUAUGAU
This is a long non-coding RNA of Sinocyclocheilus anshuiensis, 611 nucleotides long. Lineage: Eukaryota; Metazoa; Chordata; Actinopteri; Cypriniformes; Cyprinidae. The record is from Ensembl.